UUAAGUUAGAAAGGGCGCACGGUGGAUGCCUUGACACUAGGAGUCGAUGAAGGACGGGACUAACGCCGAUAUGCUUCGGGGAGCUGUAAGUAAGCUUUGAUCCGAAGAUUUCCGAAUGGGGAAACCCACUAUACGUAAUGGUAUGGUAUCCUUACCUGAAUACAUAGGGUAUGGAAGACAGACCCAGGGAACUGAAACAUCUAAGUACCUGGAGGAAGAGAAAGCAAAUGCGAUUUCCUGAGUAGCGGCGAGCGAAACGGAACAUAGCCCAAACCAAGAGGCUUGCCUCUUGGGGUUGUAGGACAUUCUAUACGGAGUUACAAAGGAACGAGGUAGACGAAGCGACCUGGAAAGGUCCGUCGUAGAGGGUAACAACCCCGUAGUCGAAACUUCGUUCUCUCUUGAAUGUAUCCUGAGUACGGCGGAACACGUGAAAUUCCGUCGGAAUCUGGGAGGACCAUCUCCCAAGGCUAAAUACUCCCUAGUGAUCGAUAGUGAACCAGUACCGUGAGGGAAAGGUGAAAAGCACCCCGGAAGGGGAGUGAAAGAGAUCCUGAAACCGUGUGCCUACAAAUAGUCAGAGCCCGUUAAUGGGUGAUGGCGUGCCUUUUGUAGAAUGAACCGGCGAGUUACGAUCCCGUGCGAGGUUAAGCUGAAGAGGCGGAGCCGCAGCGAAAGCGAGUCUGAAUAGGGCGUUUAGUACGUGGUCGUAGACCCGAAACCAGGUGAUCUACCCAUGUCCAGGGUGAAGUUCAGGUAACACUGAAUGGAGGCCCGAACCCACGCACGUUGAAAAGUGCGGGGAUGAGGUGUGGGUAGCGGAGAAAUUCCAAUCGAACCUGGAGAUAGCUGGUUCUCCCCGAAAUAGCUUUAGGGCUAGCCUUAAGUGUAAGAGUCUUGGAGGUAGAGCACUGAUUGAACUAGGGGUCCUCAUCGGAUUACCGAAUUCAGUCAAACUCCGAAUGCCAAUGACUUAUCCUUAGGAGUCAGACUGCGAGUGAUAAGAUCCGUAGUCAAGAGGGAAACAGCCCAGAUCGCCAGCUAAGGUCCCAAAGUGUGUAUUAAGUGGAAAAGGAUGUGGAGUUGCUUAGACAACUAGGAUGUUGGCUUAGAAGCAGCCACCAUUUAAAGAGUGCGUAAUAGCUCACUAGUCGAGUGACUCUGCGCCGAAAAUGUACCGGGGCUAAAUACACCACCGAAGCUGCGAAUUGAUACCAAUGGUAUCAGUGGUAGGGGAGCGUUCUAAGUGCAGUGAAGUCAGACCGGAAGGACUGGUGGAGCGCUUAGAAGUGAGAAUGCCGGUAUGAGUAGCGAAAGACGGGUGAGAAUCCCGUCCACCGAAUGCCUAAGGUUUCCUGAGGAAGGCUCGUCCGCUCAGGGUUAGUCAGGACCUAAGCCGAGGCCGACAGGCGUAGGCGAUGGACAACAGGUUGAUAUUCCUGUACCACCUCUUUAUCGUUUGAGCAAUGGAGGGACGCAGAAGGAUAGAAGAAGCGUGCGAUUGGUUGUGCACGUCCAAGCAGUUAGGCUGAUAAGUAGGCAAAUCCGCUUAUCGUAAAGGCUGAGCUGUGAUGGGGAAGCUCCUUAUGGAGCGAAGUCUUUGAUUCCCCGCUGCCAAGAAAAGCUUCUAGCGAGAUAAAAGGUGCCUGUACCGCAAACCGACACAGGUAGGCGAGGAGAGAAUCCUAAGGUGUGCGAGAGAACUCUGGUUAAGGAACUCGGCAAAAUGACCCCGUAACUUCGGGAGAAGGGGUGCUUUCUUAACGGAAAGCCGCAGUGAAUAGGCCCAAGCGACUGUUUAGCAAAAACACAGCUCUCUGCGAAGCCGUAAGGCGAAGUAUAGGGGGUGACACCUGCCCGGUGCUGGAAGGUUAAGGAGAGGGGUUAGCGUAAGCGAAGCUCUGAACUGAAGCCCCAGUAAACGGCGGCCGUAACUAUAACGGUCCUAAGGUAGCGAAAUUCCUUGUCGGGUAAGUUCCGACCCGCACGAAAGGUGUAACGAUUUGGGCACUGUCUCAACCAGAGACUCGGUGAAAUUAUAGUACCUGUGAAGAUGCAGGUUACCCGCGACAGGACGGAAAGACCCCGUGGAGCUUUACUGUAGCCUGAUAUUGAAUUUUGGUACAGUUUGUACAGGAUAGGCGGGAGCCAUUGAAACCGGAGCGCUAGCUUCGGUGGAGGCGCUGGUGGGAUACCGCCCUGACUGUAUUGAAAUUCUAACCUACGGGUCUUAUCGACCCGGGAGACAGUGUCAGGUGGGCAGUUUGACUGGGGCGGUCGCCUCCUA
RNAcentral lists this ribosomal RNA (2287 nucleotides) under Bacillus thuringiensis serovar alesti. RNAcentral's name for it is "bacterial LSU rRNA". It matches the Rfam family "Bacterial large subunit ribosomal RNA", at positions 3 to 2292 of the family's 2925-position model. Lineage: Bacteria; Bacillati; Bacillota; Bacilli; Caryophanales; Bacillaceae. The record is from RNAcentral.